Molecule: ribosomal RNA, 501 nt
Filed under: Triticum aestivum (bread wheat)
Lineage: Eukaryota; Viridiplantae; Streptophyta; Magnoliopsida; Poales; Poaceae
Description: partial small subunit ribosomal RNA
Source: RNAcentral
AUGUCUGGUUGGUUUCAAGAGAAGUCCGGCGACGCCACCAAGACGGCGUCCGAGACGGGGCAGUCCAUUCAAGACCGCGCCGUUGAGGCAAAAGACCAGACCGGGGCCUUCCUUGGUGAGAAAAGCGAGGCUGUCACGAAGGCUGCCUCCGAGACUACCGAGGCGGCUAAAAAGAUGGGCGACGAGGCCAUGGGGAAGGUGUCCGAGACGGUGGAAGCCGGUAAGGAUCACGCCGUCGAGGGCAAAGACCAGACGGGCAGCUUUUUCGGCGACAAGACUGACGCUGUCAAGAAGACGGCCACCGAGACUGCCGAUGCUGCCAAGGAGAAGUCCACCGAGGCCGCACAGCAUGUCCAGGACACCGCUGCACAGUACACCAAGGAUACCCCGGUCGCCCCCAAGGAAAACGUCUUCCAACAGGCCGGCGGGAAUAUGGUGGGUGCUGCUACUGACGCCAAGGACGCUGUCAUGAACACGCUCGGGAUGGGAGGAGACAAGUGA